This 496-nucleotide ribosomal RNA is filed under the name uncultured bacterium. Its description in RNAcentral is "partial 16S ribosomal RNA". It matches the Rfam family "Bacterial small subunit ribosomal RNA", at positions 29 to 507 of the family's 1533-position model. The record is from RNAcentral.
ACGAACGCUGGCGGCGUGCCUAAUACAUGCAAGUUGAGCGCUGAAGGUUGGUACUUGUACCAACUGGAUGAGCAGCGAACGGGUGAGUAACGCGUGGGGAAUCUGCCUUUGAGCGGGGGACAACAUUUGGAAACGAAUGCUAAUACCGCAUAAAAACUUUAAACACAAGUUUUAAGUUUGAAAGAUGCAAUUGCAUCACUCAAAGAUGAUCCCGCGUUGUAUUAGCUAGUUGGUGAGGUAAAGGCUCACCAAGGCGAUGAUACAUAGCCGACCUGAGAGGGGGAUCGGCCACAGUGGGACUGAGACACGGCCCAAACUCCUACGGGAGGCAGCAGUAGGGAAUCUUCGGCAAUGGACGAAAGUCUGACCGAGCAACGCCGCGUGAGUGAAGAAGGUUUUCGGAUCGUAAAACUCGGUUGGUAGAGAAGAACGUUGGUGAGAGUGGAAAGCUCAUCAAGUGACGGUAACUACCCAGAAAGGGACGGCUAACUACGUG